UACGAAGGGGGCUAGCGUUGUUCGGAGUUACUGGGCGUAAAGGGCGCGUAGGCGGCGCAUCAAGUCAGGCGUGAAAGCCCUGGGCUCAACCCGGGAAUUGCGCUUGAGACUGGUGUGCUCGAGUACGGGAGAGGAUAGUGGAAUUCCCGGUGUAGAGGUGAAAUUCGUAGAUAUUGGGAAGAACACCAGUGGCGAAGGCGGCUAUCUGGACCGUAACUGACGCUGAGGCGCGAAAGCGUGGGGAGCAAACAGG
RNAcentral lists this ribosomal RNA (253 nucleotides) under uncultured bacterium. RNAcentral's name for it is "partial 16S ribosomal RNA". It matches the Rfam family "Bacterial small subunit ribosomal RNA", at positions 524 to 776 of the family's 1533-position model. The record is from RNAcentral.